AGAGUUUGAUCCUGGCUCAGAUUGAACGCUGGCGGCAGGCCUAACACAUGCAAGUCGAGCGGAUGAAGGGAGCUUGCUCCUGGAUUCAGCGGCGGACGGGUGAGUAAUGCCUAGGAAUCUGCCUGGUAGUGGGGGAUAACGUCCGGAAACGGGCGCUAAUACCGCAUACGUCCUGAGGGAGAAAGUGGGGGAUCUUCGGACCUCACGCUAUCAGAUGAGCCUAGGUCGGAUUAGCUAGUUGGUGGGGUAAAGGCCUACCAAGGCGACGAUCCGUAACUGGUCUGAGAGGAUGAUCAGUCACACUGGAACUGAGACACGGUCCAGACUCCUACGGGAGGCAGCAGUGGGGAAUAUUGGACAAUGGGCGAAAGCCUGAUCCAGCCAUGCCGCGUGUGUGAAGAAGGUCUUCGGAUUGUAAAGCACUUUAAGUUGGGAGGAAGGGCAGUAAGUUAAUACCUUGCUGUUUUGACGUUACCAACAGAAUAAGCACCGGCUAACUUCGUGCCAGCAGCCGCGGUAAUACGAAGGGUGCAAGCGUUAAUCGGAAUUACUGGGCGUAAAGCGCGCGUAGGUGGUUCAGCAAGUUGGAUGUGAAAUCCCGGGGCUCAACCUGGGAACUGCAUCCAAAACUACUGAGCUAGAGUACGGUAGAGGGUGGUGGAAUUUCCUGUGUAGCGGUGAAAUGCGUAGAUAUAGGAAGGAACACCAGUGGCGAAGGCGACCACCUGGACUGAUACUGACACUGAG
Molecule: ribosomal RNA, 747 nt
Filed under: uncultured bacterium
Lineage: Bacteria
Description: bacterial SSU rRNA
Rfam family: Bacterial small subunit ribosomal RNA
Source: RNAcentral